AUUGAACGCUGGCGGCAUGCCUUACACAUGCAAGUCGAACGGUAACAGGUCUUCGGACGCUGACGAGUGGCGAACGGGUGAGUAAUACAUCGGAACGUGCCCAGUCGUGGGGGAUAACUACUCGAAAGAGUAGCUAAUACCGCAUACGAUCUGAGGAUGAAAGCGGGGGACCUUCGGGCCUCGCGCGAUUGGAGCGGCCGAUGGAAGAUUAGGUAGUUGGUGGGAUAAAAGCUUACCAAGCCGAGGAUCUGUAGCUGGUCUGAGAGGACGACCAGCCACACUGGGACUGAGACACGGGCCAGACUCCUACGGGAGGCAGCAGUGGGGAAUUUUGGACAAUGGGCGAAAGCCUGAUCCAGCAAUGCCGCGUGCAGGAUGAAGGCCUUCGGGUUGUAAACUGCUUUUGUACGGAACGAAAAAGCUCCUUCUAAUACAGGGGGCCCGUGACGGUACCGUAAGAAUAAGCACCGGCUAACUACGUGCCAGCAGCCGCCGCAG
Molecule: ribosomal RNA, 498 nt
Filed under: uncultured bacterium
Lineage: Bacteria
Description: partial 16S ribosomal RNA
Rfam family: Bacterial small subunit ribosomal RNA
Source: RNAcentral